This 76-nucleotide transfer RNA is filed under the name Bacillota bacterium. Its description in RNAcentral is "tRNA-Arg". It matches the Rfam family "tRNA". From Rfam's summary of the family: Transfer RNA (tRNA) molecules are approximately 80 nucleotides in length. Their secondary structure includes four short double-helical elements and three loops (D, anti-codon, and T loops). Lineage: Bacteria; Bacillati; Bacillota. The record is from RNAcentral.
GCGCCCGUAGCUCAAUGGAUAGAGCAGCGGACUUCGGAUCCGCUGGUUGGGGGUUCGACUCCCUUCGGGCGCGCCA